This 155-nucleotide ribosomal RNA is filed under the name uncultured Glomus. RNAcentral describes it as "5.8S ribosomal RNA". It matches the Rfam family "5.8S ribosomal RNA". From Rfam's summary of the family: 5.8S ribosomal RNA (5.8S rRNA) is a component of the large subunit of the eukaryotic ribosome. It is transcribed by RNA polymerase I as part of the 45S precursor that also contains 18S and 28S rRNA. Functionally, it is thought that 5.8S rRNA may be involved in ribosome translocation. Lineage: Eukaryota; Fungi; Glomeromycota; Glomeromycetes; Glomerales; Glomeraceae. The record is from RNAcentral.
ACUUUCAACAACGGAUCUCUUGGCUCUCGCAUCGAUGAAGAACGUAGCGAAGUGCGAUAAGUAGUGUGAAUUGCAGAAUUCCGUGAAUCAUCGAAUCUUUGAACGCAAAUUGCGCUCCCUGGCAUCCCGGGGAGUAUGCCUGUUUGAGGGUCAGU